RNAcentral lists this ribosomal RNA (484 nucleotides) under uncultured bacterium. RNAcentral describes it as "partial 16S ribosomal RNA". It matches the Rfam family "Bacterial small subunit ribosomal RNA", at positions 30 to 507 of the family's 1533-position model. The record is from RNAcentral.
AUUGAACGCUGGCGGCAGGCCUAACACAUGCAAGUCGAGCGGAUGAAGGGAGCUUGCUCCUGGAUUCAGCGGCGGACGGGUGAGUAAUGCCUAGGAAUCUGCCUGGUAGUGGGGGAUAACGUCCGGAAACGGGCGCUAAUACCGCAUACGUCCUGAUGGAGAAAGUGGGGGAUCUUCGGACCGCACGCUAUCAGAUGAGCCUAGGUCGGAUUAGCUAGUUGGUGGGGUAAAGGCCUACCAAGGCGACGAUCCGUAACUGGUCUGAGAGGAUGAUCAGUCACACUGGAACUGAGACACGGUCCAGACACCUACGGGAGGCAGCAGUGGGGAAUAUUGGACAAUGGGCGAAAUCCUGAUCCAGCCAGGCCGCGUGUGUGAAGAAGGUCUUCGGAUUGUAAAGCACUUUAAGUUGGGAGGAAGGGCAGUAAGUUAAUACCUUGCUGUUUUGACGUUACCAACAGAAUAAGCACCGGCUAACUUCGUG